AAUCUUCCACAAUGGGCGAAAGCCUGAUGGAGCAACGCCGCGCGAGUGGAGAAGGUUUUCGGAUCGUAAAACUCUGUUGUAAGGGAAGAACAAGUACAGUAGUACCUGGCUUUACCUUGACGGUACCUUAUUAGAAAGCCACGCCUAUCUACGUGCCAGCCGCCGCGGUAAUACGUAGGUGGCAAGCGUUGUCCGGAAUUAUUGGGCGUAAAGCGCGGGCAGGCGGUCCUAAAAGUCUGAUGUGAAAGCCCACGGCUCAACCGUGGAGGGUCAUUGGAAACUGGGGGACUUGAGUGCAGAAGAGGAAAGUGGAAUUCCAAGUGUAGCGGUGAAAUGUGUAGAGAUUUGGAGGAACACCAGUGGCGAAGGCGACUUUCUGGUCUGUAACUGACGCUGAGGCGCGAAAGCGUGGGGAGCAAACA
Molecule: ribosomal RNA, 422 nt
Filed under: uncultured bacterium
Lineage: Bacteria
Description: partial 16S ribosomal RNA
Rfam family: Bacterial small subunit ribosomal RNA
Source: RNAcentral